GGCGCUGCCGCACUGCGAGCGCUGCCAACUGCGAUCCCCGGGACGGGCGCUGUGCUCUGGCACCGGGUGCUCCCGGAGAGGCUUUGCGUUCGGUUGGCUUUUUUUGCCCAAGUUUUCUUACAAGGAAUUCAGUGGAGGAGCGCAGUGCGGGCGGUGCCGUGCCGUCCCUAUCUCUGCACGCGGGGUGCCGGCAGCCAGAUCGUGGCUAAAUAUAGAAGCUCCGUCGCCCCGCAGCUGCUCAUUUGCAAUUUGUUCUGCGCGUAAAAUCUCUUAACGCU
RNAcentral lists this long non-coding RNA (278 nucleotides) under Gallus gallus (chicken). Its description in RNAcentral is "long non-coding RNA NONGGAT009060". The record is from RNAcentral. Lineage: Eukaryota; Metazoa; Chordata; Aves; Galliformes; Phasianidae.